ACGAACGCUGGCGGCGUGCUUAACACAUGCAAGUCGAACGGAAAGGCCCUGCUUUUGUGGGGUGCUCGAGUGGCGAACGGGUGAGUAACACGUGAGUAACCUGCCCUUGACUUUGGGAUAACUUCAGGAAACUGGGGCUAAUACCGGAUAGGAGCUCCUGCUGCAUGGUGGGGUUGGAAAGUUUCGGCGGUUGGGGAUGGACUCGCGGCUUAUCAGCUUGUUGGUGGGGUAGUGGCUUACCAAGGCUUUGACGGGUAGCCGGCCUGAGGGGGUGACCGGCCACAUUGGGACUGAGAUACGGCCCAGACUCCUACGGGAGGCAGCAGUGGGGAAUAUUGCACAAUGGGCGGAAGCCUGAUGCAGCAACGCCGCGUGCGGGAUGACGGCCUUCGGGUUGUAAACCGCUUUCGCCUGUGACGAAGCGUGAGUGACGGUAAUGGGUAAAGAAGCACCGGCUAACUACGUG
This 466-nucleotide ribosomal RNA is filed under the name uncultured bacterium. RNAcentral describes it as "partial 16S ribosomal RNA". It matches the Rfam family "Bacterial small subunit ribosomal RNA", at positions 29 to 507 of the family's 1533-position model. The record is from RNAcentral.